This 1628-nucleotide long non-coding RNA is filed under the name Nicotiana benthamiana. Its description in RNAcentral is "long non-coding RNA (NBEN_LNC020966)". The record is from RNAcentral. Lineage: Eukaryota; Viridiplantae; Streptophyta; Magnoliopsida; Solanales; Solanaceae.
AAACGCCUUCUUAGGUGAUUUCUUUUGAUUUGCGGAAGACUGGUGGGUAAAGUUACUCGCCGAUACCAGUGGUGGGAGGUUGCAGCUAACUUGUGGUAUAGUGAGUCCACAAGCUUGCCUAGAUAUCAGUAUUAUUUUAAGAAAAAAGGACAUGCUCACACCCAUGCUACCCGUCCAUAUAAUCUAGGUAAACAAAGGGUCCAUGUAAUACACUGCCUUAUGGAGCGCCAUUUUUUCUCGAUAUUGCAGUUUAUUUUAGCACGGCAAAACCUGCAUAUUUGUGCAAGGAACCAUAUUCCCUCCAUUGAUUAACGGAGAAAGUGCCUUUUGUAAGUUGAUUAUUUUACUUAUAUUUUGUAACCUAAGUUGAAGACUCAUUCUUGCAGUCCUUUUUUUUGCGAUAAGUAAUUGGAGAGUAGUAUUAUAUCAGAAAAACCAGCAUGGAGAAAGUGCUGGUUGUCAUGUACAACCCAAUUACAAGCUGUGCAGAUUACUAAUAGAAUAUAUCAUAGCUUCUACGUCAUUAACAUUGAUUCUAGCCAUGUUACACCAAAAAAGGAGCAAAGAGAUUCAUGCUUAAGGCUAACUAUGUUUCUCCUCUUUGUCUUCAAAAAUCUUGCAAGCAUCUUAUAAAGCUCCCUCCUUCCUCCAAAUGGGUGGUUAGUGGGGACAUCUGAAGUGUAGCGUAGUGGCCCUUGAGUAGCUAAGCUGGGAACUCAUUGGGUGGGCAGUGACAUUUGUCCUUCCAAACGUGUCAAGUUUGCAACAGAAUUCGCUUUGUACAAGACUGCAGGAAGAUUAGUAGUCAUGAACGCUUAUUGAAGUUUGAUCACUGAACAAGUUUGAAAUGAAAAAAUCAAAAGGAAAUGGAAGUCAUUUUACAAUAUACAUCAUUUGGUGAAUAGCUUAAUCAGAAAUUAGUUGGGGUUGGCUACACCGCUUCAUUUGGACCUGUUCCAUUCCAAUAUUCAUUAGUUUGGAUUCUCAUUUGUUUGGUAACUGAAGUCAAUAUCUGAUAACAUAUCUUGAGGUUUAUUUAAUUUCCUAUUCAGCGUUGAGUUUUUUAAAUUCCUCUGAUGAAGUACUGGCACUAAUGUCUGUGAGUAGGCAUGUUCAUUUCUAUGGAGCCACAUUGCCACAAUAAAUAGAGUGCAAACUCCCACCAACAUGAUAUUAUGCUUUAUAAAUGUCACAUUUUUUUGUCACGUCCCCAAGAAUUGGAUCUCCAACUGAGCUCUGGCUUCUGGUGCCACAAUAAAUAGAGUGCUAAUUCCCACCAACAUGAUAUUAUGCUUUAUAACUGUCACGUUUUUUGUCACUUCCCCAAGAAUUGGAUCUCCAACUGAGCUCUGGCUUCUGGAAUACCGGGCCAGAUCAACCCCUGUUUUCCAACUAUUUUGAAGAAUUUGUCACCAUAAUUAGUUGUCUCUCGGUAGUUGAAGAUUGUCGUAUUUGUUCAUGAUGACAAAAACUCACUAUUGUUAGACUGUGAAAAACUUUGAAAGGUAUUAAGUACUUGAUCAUUUGUGUUUCUUCAGCUUACCAGGUCAAAGGUGGCAGCCCGGAGCUCUUUAUUGCAGUUAUCUGGUCGUUUGCAGCUCGUAAUGGCACAGGUUGGUUACUUGAAU